RNAcentral lists this unclassified non-coding RNA (335 nucleotides) under soil metagenome. RNAcentral's name for it is "partial contains 5.8S ribosomal RNA, internal transcribed spacer 2, and large subunit ribosomal RNA". The stretch from base 1 to 120 matches the Rfam family "5.8S ribosomal RNA", at positions 35 to 154 of the family's 154-position model. The record is from RNAcentral.
GAUGAAGAACGCAGCGAAAUGCGAUAAGUAAUGUGAAUUGCAGAAUUCAGUGAAUCAUCGAAUCUUUGAACGCACAUUGCGCCCGCCAGUAUUCUGGCGGGCAGGCCUGUUCGAGCGUCAUUUCAACCAUCAAGCCCCCGGCUUGUGUUGGGGACCUGCGGCUGCCGCAGGCCCUGAAAACCAGUGGCGGGCUCGCUAGUCACUCCGAGCGUAGUAAUACAUCUCGCUCAGGGCGUGCUGUGGGUUCCGGCCGUUAAAAAGCCUUAUUUACCCAAGGUUGACCUCGGAUCAGGUAGGAAGACCCGCUGAACUUAAGCAUAUCAAUAAGCGGAGGA